Molecule: long non-coding RNA, 992 nt
Organism: Spinacia oleracea (spinach)
Lineage: Eukaryota; Viridiplantae; Streptophyta; Magnoliopsida; Caryophyllales; Amaranthaceae
Exons: 5
Source: RefSeq, a predicted model, not a curated record
CAGGUGUCUUUCCCUACAUUUGUUUCAUUUCAUUAAAAGAGAAACCUCUUCUCUGGAGUCUGGAUCUCUCUUCCUCUACCCCAGUCUCCCUAGUCCCCACCGCCCCUCUCAACCUGAGAAGCAAGAGGGUGAAAGCUCGUCGACGUAGGCGCUCUGGAACUUGAUACACUCGAAGAUCUAUACCUGAAGAAGUUAUGGCAUCAACCUACUCUUGCCCUAGAAAAGUUCAUUGCUCUCACAAUUUUCCAGGAAUGUUACUAGUUCAAUUGUCCGACAGGCACAACGCUGUGAGUUAUUUGUUUCUUAUGAUGGCACCACGGAGAAGCUGGCAUCAGGACUUGUAAAGCCUUUUGUUACUCAAAGGUUGCAGAAGACCAAGUUGCAUUGGUUGUGAAGUCAAUUAACUUGAGGUGGACAGAUAUAAAUAUGAAGAAACAUGGUUUACAAAGGGGACUCUUGAGAGUUUAGCAUGUUGCCUUCAGGAAUACAUUGUGAAUUAUAGCUUAGAAAAUACUUCUUUUCUUAUUUUGUUACUGGCAAGUAUAUCCUUUUGAUAUAACUUAUGUCUUCCAGGUUUGUGAGGUUUGUUGGCACUCCCGAGGUUCUGGAAAUGGUCGGUCAGCUCCAGCAGUAUUGUCUUGGAAGAAAGAAGGAAGGAUCAAUGACCUAACUAUCUCUCCACUAGUCAAGAAGGGAAUCACUGAAAAAGCUGGAUUUGACUAUUAAGGUUAUAGGUGCAGACAUUUCUGCAAUCCCAUGGAUGUCUGAUGCUAUUGAGUAUAGAUAUUUUCUCCAAACUCGUACACUCAAGAGGAGAUCGAUGAUGUUCAAGAAAAAUGGAGUAGAUAUUUUAUUAGUAGUUGUUUGUAGUCAUUUUCUAGUUUUCAGAGAUAGAAAUUAGGUUAUUUUUUGGAAUACAAUUAUUUACAAUUGUACGUUGAACCAACUUUCUUGUUUGAGUUAAUACAAAAAUAUUUUCGCAAUUCUGCAAA